RNAcentral lists this ribosomal RNA (463 nucleotides) under uncultured bacterium. RNAcentral describes it as "partial 16S ribosomal RNA". It matches the Rfam family "Bacterial small subunit ribosomal RNA", at positions 338 to 795 of the family's 1533-position model. The record is from RNAcentral.
CCUACGGGAGGCAGCAGUAGGGAAUUUUCGUCAAUGGGCGCAAGCCUGAACGAGCAAUGCCGCGUGAACGAGGAAGGUCUUCGGAUCGUAAAGUUCUGUUGAAGGGGAAAAAGAGCGGAGAGAGGAAAUGGUCUCCGCUUGAUAUUACCCUUCGAGGAAGUCACGGCUAACUACGUGCGAGCAGACGCGGUAAUACGUAGGUGGCGAGCGUUAUCCGGAAUGAUUGGGCGUAAAGGGUGCGUAGGCGGCCUGCUAAGUCUGGAGUGAAAGGUACCGGCUCAACCGGUACAGGCUCUGGAAACUGGCGGGCUAGAGAGCAGGAGAGGGCGGUGGAACUCCAUGUGUAGCGGUAAAAUGCGUAGAUAUAUGGAAGAACACCAGUGGCGAAGGCGGCCGCCUGGCCUGUUACUGACGCUGAGGCACGAAAGCGUGGGGAGCAAAUAGGAUUAGAUACCCUGUAGUC